CACACUUCCACCAACAUUGUAUUAGUGACCCAAUUUUCCCACAUCCUCUCCUACAUUUGUCAUUUUCCUUUUUUGUUAUAUUAGCUAAUCUGAGAGGUGUAAGGUGGUAUCUCAAAGCUGUUUUAUGUCCUUUGUUUUUGAAGAGAUCCAAUAACAACAUGAGGUUAUCUCCUGAUUUGUGAAUGAAAUGUUUUUAAGGGAGCAGGAUUGCACAGAGUUGUCAGCUUCACUUUUUCUUUCAGAGUCAUCUAUGUCCAGUGUCAAGACAAAAGUUAGGAUGACUGCCAAUGGUCUGUGAUGCAGUGGAUGAUCUCGGCAUCUUUGAGGUGUGACCAAAUUCUAAUUGUUCCACAAUACCUGCUUCAGCCAAUGGUUCAAGGCCAUUGGAACAAAUUGAUCUCAGCUACCAAUUUACUGGGAAAAGUCUUCACAUACUAAAGCUUUUUUCAUCAAGUAUGGAACAGAUGACAAGUCCUAUAAGACCAACUUAUGCUUGAUGUCAAGAAAACCUUGCUAACUCUUAGAGCUGUCCAGAAAUGGAAUGGGCUGUCUCAAGACGUGAUGAAUUCUUCCUUAUUUGAGGUCUUCAAUCAGAAGCUGAUUGCUCACUUGUCAGGCAUCAUAAGAGGAACUAAACGAGCAACUAGGAAAAUGAAGCAGCGUCGAUAUGUCUUCAAGAAGCCUCCAGCAUCCUUGAGGGGCAGAGAAGGUUCAUUUAAGACAUGUGCAUCAAUAGUGUCCAAGGUAAGAAAAGAUGAGAACAGAGGGGAUAUCAGAGAAUCGAGAUUUAUAGUGAGAAGGACCUUAGUGGUGACCUAGUCCAACUCACUCAUUUUACAGAUGAGAAAACUGAGGGAG
RNAcentral lists this long non-coding RNA (858 nucleotides) under Monodelphis domestica (gray short-tailed opossum). RNAcentral's name for it is "lncRNA (ENSMODG00000030372.2)". The record is from RNAcentral. Lineage: Eukaryota; Metazoa; Chordata; Mammalia; Didelphimorphia; Didelphidae.